GCCUUCGUAGCUCAAUGGAUAGAGCACCGGCCUUCUAAGCCGUUGGUUAUGGGUUCGACUCCCAUCGAGGGCACCU
This 76-nucleotide transfer RNA is filed under the name Chloroflexi bacterium HGW-Chloroflexi-5. Its description in RNAcentral is "tRNA-Arg". It matches the Rfam family "tRNA". Rfam says of the family: Transfer RNA (tRNA) molecules are approximately 80 nucleotides in length. Their secondary structure includes four short double-helical elements and three loops (D, anti-codon, and T loops). Lineage: Bacteria; Bacillati; Chloroflexota. The record is from RNAcentral.